This 429-nucleotide ribosomal RNA is filed under the name Chloroflexota bacterium. Its description in RNAcentral is "Chloroflexi bacterium partial 16S ribosomal RNA". It matches the Rfam family "Bacterial small subunit ribosomal RNA", at positions 355 to 776 of the family's 1533-position model. Lineage: Bacteria; Bacillati; Chloroflexota. The record is from RNAcentral.
UGGGGAAUAUUGCACAAUGGGCGCAAGCCUGAUGCAGCCAUGCCGCGUGUAUGAAGAAGGCCUUCGGGUUGUAAAGUACUUUCAGUCGGGAGGAAGGUGGUAAGGUUAAUAACCUUAUCAAUUGACGUUACCGACAGAAGAAGCACCGGCUAACUCCGUGCCAGCAGCCGCGGUAAUACGGAGGGUGCAAGCGUUAAUCGGAAUUACUGGGCGUAAAGCGCACGCAGGCGGUUGAUUGAGUCAGAUGUGAAAUCCCCGGGCUUAACCCGGGAAUUGCAUCUGAUACUGGUCAGCUAGAGUCUUGUAGAGGGGGGUAGAAUUCCAUGUGUAGCGGUGAAAUGCGUCGAGAUGUGGAGGAAUACCGGUGGCGAAGGCGGCCCCCUGGACAAAGACUGACGCUCAGGUGCGAAAGCGUGGGGAGCAAACAGG